This 855-nucleotide long non-coding RNA is filed under the name Gossypium barbadense (sea-island cotton). RNAcentral describes it as "long non-coding RNA (GBAR_LNC020715)". Lineage: Eukaryota; Viridiplantae; Streptophyta; Magnoliopsida; Malvales; Malvaceae. The record is from RNAcentral.
GGCGCAGUAUCUGAUCGGCCCGUAGGGUGAUUGAAGAGGGUGGGGGUGUAGAGUGGGCAGUGGCACCUCUAUUAAUAUGUGGCGAGAUGCAUGGUUGCCUGGACCUAGAAAAGGGACAAUCUCGGGUCAGUCGAUUGAUAUUAAUUAUACACUCAUUUUGGAUCUUAUUGAUGUAAAUACAUAUACUUGGCAGGUGGAUGUGGUGAAUAGUUUGUUUGAUAGUGAUUAGGACAGGAGGGUGCUUUCUAUUCCACUGUCAAGAUUCACACAUGAGGAUGAAUUCUUGUGGAAAGGGGAUAAUACGGGGGAGUAUUUGGUAAGGAGUGGUUACAAGUGGCUUGUUUCAAAUAUAGGCGAUGGUACAGAAUGUGCAAAUACAAGCCAGAACAACAGAAUUUGGAACCUUAAAUUGGCAAAUAAAAUUAAGAUUCAUUUUGGCGAAUUGCUAAUAACUUUCUUCCUACUCUAAGUAAUCUGGUAGCUCGAAGGGUGGCAACUAGUAGCUGGUGCCCAGUAUGUAGUGAUUGAGGAGACAGUGGAGCACCUCUUCUGUGAUUGUGCUGUAAUUACCCAGGUUUUGAAUGCUCUGCUGGUACCAUUUGCUCCCUCAAACAAUACAAACAAUUGGAAACUAUGGUUAGUUAAAGAGUUUGUCAACAGUUCCCUUGAUAAAUGUAUUGUGGGUGGUUGUAUUUUGGGUAGUCUGGUUUAAUCGAAAUAGUGCUUAUCAUGAUGGUGUCAAUCAACAAGCAUAUGGUAUUGUGGCUUUCGUCAAAACAUACAUGCAAGAACUGGACUGUUUGGAUUCGGUUUUACAAGAGGUUCAACAUCCACCGGGUAGCAUUUGGAAGCCAC